AGAACGAACGCUGGCGGCAUGCCUAACACAUGCAAGUCGGACGCUUUCGGGGGUUUCGGCCUCCGAGGGAGUGGCGGACGGGUGAGUAGCGCGUGGGAACCUGCCCCUUUGUGGGGGAUAACCGAGGGAAACUUCGGCUAAUACCGCAUGCGCCCGGGGGUAACUCCGGGGAAAGAUUUAUCGCAGAGGGAGGGGCCCGCGUCGGAUUAGGUAGUUGGUGGGGUAACGGCCUACCAAGCCGGUGAUCCGUAGCUGGUCUGAGAGGAUGAUCAGCCACACUGGGACUGAGACACGGCCCAGACUCCUACGGGAGGCAGCAGUGGGGAAUAUUGGACAAUGGGCGCAAGCCUGAUCCAGCAAUGCCGCGUGAGUGAUGAAGGCCUUAGGGUUGUAAAGCUCUUUCGGCGGGGACGAGUGAUGGACGGUACCCGCGAAGAACGAAGCCCCGGCUAACUUCGCGCCAGCACGCCGC
Molecule: ribosomal RNA, 472 nt
Filed under: uncultured bacterium
Lineage: Bacteria
Description: SSU rRNA
Rfam family: Bacterial small subunit ribosomal RNA
Source: RNAcentral